UUUGACUUUCUGUCAUACUGAAUCACUCUCACUAUAUGCCAUGGUCAUUGAGGUUGUUCCUCUUACAAGGGAAUAUAUCUCUCUGCACAUCUGGGAAUUUGUGUGGAUUCACCCAAGACAUCAAAUGGAUCAUCCAGGUCUGCAUUUGUGUUUGACGAUGUGGAACACGAUGACAUCCCUACAUUUUUGGUAAGUGUGAAAAACAUCUCAAGCCAUUUCUUUACAAGCCAUUAAGUCCAAAAUAAACUGAAAGGAGAGAGAUUUCUAGGAUGCAGUGCUUUAUCUGAUCAUAAUAAAACCAAAAUUUUCAAUCAGCAAGUUUCAACAUGUACUGUAAUUGAUUGUGAGCAUAAACAACCUCUUGCAUUUCCUUAUUUUUUCUCUUACGUGAGCAAUGCAGGGGUUUCAUCAUACAGCAACAAAAGGAUUAAGAGAUCCGUGGUCAUGCCAAAAAAAUGGGGCAUUUACACAUUAUUGCAACAAUAUCGAACAAGGUCUUCAAUCACAUGAGUGAAAUUGCAAACAGGAAAGUGAACUGAAUGUUACUAAAAAGACCAACCAAGUAGCCUUUCAAGUAGCCUUUAAUCAAGUGAAUAAAUCCUGAUUUCUUCAGUGAAAACUAGCUGGCCAUUGUAAUCAUGAAGAAGUUAACAGCUUCAUGUCACAGGAAGGAAGUGAAUACCUUUUUUUGUUCUUGAAAUCCUUUAUUUGGAUGUUUUCUUGCAUGUCAUUGAGACAUAAAACAUGGAAAACAUCUAAAAAAAUGCCAGUGGGCUAAAAUGGGUUAAAUGGAAAAUUUAUACAUCUCACUGAUUUUAAACUGCUUUCACUGUUUUCCCCGGUUUCACAGAUAAGGCUUAAGCUAAUCCAUUCAUGUUUGAGCUUUUUUAACUGAAAGCAACUUGUACUGACAGAUCUUAAAAUGUGUCAGUGCCAUAGUUUUGCCAGUGCCAUGCAUGCACACCAGUAAUGUUUUUUUUUUUUCGUUUUUUUUUUUUUUAUUAUUAUUAUUAUUAUUAUUAUUAUUAAAGUUACUUAAAUAUCCUAAUUGAACUAAGACCUAAUCCUAACUUGGGCUAAACCCUUUCUGUGAAACUGAACCAUUAUGUUUAUGUAUUUCUUUCUUUCCUCACAAAACAAGUAUUUUAUGUGUUCUGGACUCUGCAGCUUAUCUGUGCAAUUUGGCUCAGUUCAUCUCUUUAUGGGCUUUCAAAUUGAUUUAUCGCUAUUAACCACAUCCAAAAUAAAAGCUUGUGUUUACAAAAAAAUAUAUAUAACGGAUCUGUGCUUUGAUAAGAUGUUAGAUAUUCUUCACUCACAUUUACAUCAUAUUUCUGUAUACUCUUCAUUAUCACAUGUGCUUGCACUGAUUCUGUAUUGUAAUUGUUUUACAAUAGCAGGUUGAAAAUGUGACACUUUUAAAAAGGAAAUGUGAAUCAUGAAAAUAAGAAUGUCACCUUAACAAGAUCAGCUGAAAUAAAACCUUUUUACAACCUGCAUCUCUGUCUACUUACUGAUAGUCACAAUAGGACUGUGGAAAUCUGUAAAACUUUGCAGUAAUCAACUGGCAGCAGCUUCAUCUGCAAAGUAUACUCUUGUUUUUACUGUUGUAAAAAUUAUCUGUAAUCUCUACAAACUAUCUGUGAAAUGCUGGCAGCACAGUUGUACUAAUCAAAACUCAAGUUAAUUCACUUAUUUUGCAGAAAUUAUCAUAAAUGACCAAUUGCCAUUUAAGUUUAUAAACUAAUAUAAUGUGUUAAUAUUGUGAGCAUAUUAAAACUGUGAACUGUGAACUCUAAGAAAAAUUCCUAAAGUGAACCAAAUAAAAAAUAAAUAAAUAAAUAAAACCAUCAUCUUGUCAAUUAAUUAACAAACAUCUUAUCACUGCAUCAGCAACUACACAGUUACUGCUUUUUAAUAACAAGCUGCACAACAUCAGCUUCUUCUUCUUUUUUUGUUUUCUUUCUUUGCACGUUGCAUCCUGUGUGCAGUUCUAAAUCAGGAUCAGGUACUGGGUGUUUCUGUGUGUUCAGCUCCUCCACGCUGAACCCCUUAUGAUCCAAAACAGAUCAGAGCAACUUUAAAUUAUAUUCUUUUAUCUAAUGAUGUUCUAUUUUAAUACGAAAUACUAUAUCCUAUAACAUCUCUAUUAAAUUAAUUCCCCAGCAGGUAUCUCACAUCCCUUUUUUUUACAUUUUGAAUUCCUUCCUAUCCUCUAUACUUCCUACAAUCAUAUAAAACAAGAUCAUUUGUUUCUUCCAACAUCAGUGUUUCUUGUUCUUUUGCGGA
Megalobrama amblycephala (Wuchang bream) is the source of this 2289-nucleotide long non-coding RNA. RefSeq lists it as uncharacterized. NCBI's taxonomy places the organism in Eukaryota, Metazoa, Chordata, Actinopteri, Cypriniformes, Xenocyprididae. The transcript is spliced from 3 exons. The record is from RefSeq and is a predicted model, not a curated record.